UUCAAAUUUCCCACUUCAUUAAUAUGAAAGAUUAGGUUAAGACAAUUGCAACGCCACCUGUGUUUAUUUAUAGGAAUAAAGAAAAUUGCGACUAGCAGUGCAUCUUUUAUGGAGAAUAUACGACAAAAAAAGAUCUUAAUAAUUCUUUUAAUAAAAACAAUCUAAACGAAAAAGGAUCUAAAUAUGCCGAUUACACGAAUGUUCGAGCGAAGGAGCUUGGCAACCAAAGGACGAACGAGGAAGCGGGUAGAAGGAACGACGACUAGAAGGCCAGCAAAGGGUGAGGGAAGUCGGCCAUAUUGAAGAAGGGUGGACAUACAUAGUGAAAGAAAGAGGAGAGGAGGAGAGAGAAAGAGAGAGGCCACGAAAGGAGAGACCUUGCUCUUCGAGCAAGUUGCCACAGUGUCGAGAGUGAGCAGCACCAUCUUGUUAACAGUCGAGUUCUUUUUCCAUCGGCGUCGACUCCGAUAGGCCUACGGUGCCAUGGUGGGCGUUCUUCCUCGUCUUCCUAUUUUGUCCACUCGUCCAUGCUCCGCCUCGUGUGGUAACCUCGACUCUCCUGCACGUGAUCGGUACGCUACGCCGAGAGAUCUGAAAGGGUACCAACGAGUUGCCGACCAGUUGCCUACGUAACGACUUUGGCCACGUCCUUGCGCGCGAAGAGAUCACGAGUCCUCGAUGGAUUAUCAUCUGUCCGGCCAGUAACAUUGUUCACUCCUCCGAUAUUCCUGGAGAGGAAGAAUAGGUACUGAUAAAGUUAUGUCAAGGUUAUGUUCCGAGAAUCAGGCAGCCAAACCUAUUCCACGUCGGCUUACCUCGAUUUCCAUAAUUUCGUUACGCCUCGACUCACCUUAAUCGCCGCGAUACAUUAAAGUAUCAUAUAUCAAAAAUUCGUCAUCCCUGGCGCCACGUUACCAUCACCGAUAUCCCAAUUAUGGCGAUGAAGAGUAACGUUCGAACGUUCUCUAACCAGUCACGCGAUCGUCCAACGUCGAUCCAAUAUCCACACGGAUCCUCUUUCACGCUUUUAUCUCGAAAACGAUGGUUUCGAGGGACAGGUGCGACUAACCUUGAGAUAAGGUGUCCGACCAGCUGCAUUCGCCGCGAAUGUGGUCGUUAGAGGGAUCAGGCGACGAAACCGGAGGAAUAAGGGAAGAUACACAUCCAUUACCAUCAGCAUGCAAAUUAGAUCGAGGAUUACCGCAAAUCCUUUCGUAACAAUCCACCCGCUGCCGAAGAGAAAAAGGGAGGAGGAGAAAGGAAAAAGGAUGCUGUCGAGAGAUAAAGAUUCAAAGGAGAGAAAGGAACUCGACCGCAAACUCCUCGCCGGAACUUAAUUAUCGUCUGGCAUCGGUGUCGAGGGAUGCUUUACGAAUGGUACUAGAGACUGGUCUUUUUUUAAAAUGGAAUAAAUAUUCGGCCCAAUGUAAUUGGCAUGAAGGAGGAUCCAUAGAAGUUUCCAUCGAGUUUGACAUAAAUGAUAUUCCAUGA
This 1491-nucleotide long non-coding RNA is filed under the name Apis dorsata (giant honeybee). RNAcentral's name for it is "uncharacterized LOC116185717". Lineage: Eukaryota; Metazoa; Arthropoda; Insecta; Hymenoptera; Apidae. The record is from RNAcentral.